RNAcentral lists this ribosomal RNA (881 nucleotides) under uncultured bacterium. RNAcentral's name for it is "bacterial SSU rRNA". It matches the Rfam family "Bacterial small subunit ribosomal RNA", at positions 1 to 898 of the family's 1533-position model. The record is from RNAcentral.
CCUUAGAGUUUGAUCCUGGCUCAGGACGAACGCUGGCGGCGCGCCUAACACAUGCAAGUCGAACGAGAAAUGAGGAGCUUGCUCCUCAAAUCGAGUGGCGAACGGGUGAGUAACGCGUGAGGAACCUGCCUCAAAGAGGGGGACAACAGUUGGAAACGACUGCUAAUACCGCAUAAGCCCACGGCUCGGCAUCGAGCAGAGGGAAAAGGAGCAAUCCGCUUUGAGAUGGCCUCGCGUCCGAUUAGCUAGUUGGUGAGGUAACGGCCCACCAAGGCGACGAUCGGUAGCCGGACUGAGAGGUUGAACGGCCACAUUGGGACUGAGACACGGCCCAGACUCCUACGGGAGGCAGCAGUGGGGAAUAUUGCACAAUGGGGGAAACCCUGAUGCAGCGACGCCGCGUGGAGGAAGAAGGUCUUCGGAUUGUAAACUCCUGUUGUUGAGGAAGAUAAUGACGGUACUCAACAAGGAAGUGACGGCUAACUACGUGCCAGCAGCCGCGGUAAAACGUAGGUCACAAGCGUUGUCCGGAAUUACUGGGUGUAAAGGGAGCGCAGGCGGGAGAACAAGUUGGAAGUGAAAUCCAUGGGCUCAACCCAUGAACUGCUUUCAAAACUGUUUUUCUUGAGUAGUGCAGAGGUAGGCGGAAUUCCCGGUGUAGCGGUGGAAUGCGUAGAUAUCGGGAGGAACACCAGUGGCGAAGGCGGCCUACUGGGCACCAACUGACGCUGAGGCUCGAAAGUGUGGGUAGCAAACAGGAUUAGAUACCCUGGUAGUCCACACCGUAAACGAUGAUUACUAGGUGUUGGAGGAUUGACCCCUUCAGUGCCGCAGUUAACACAAUAAGUAAUCCACCUGGGGAGUACGACCGCAAGGUUGAA